GGGGAUGUCCAGGUUUCGACGGGGGAGGCUGGUCCCGAAUUGCGAGCCGAGAGGUACCGAUCUCGUAAAAUCAGUGCAAACAAUUAAGUGCCAAUAAUCGCACUUCCUACGCUGCAAUGCCACUCGCUGCCUAAGCGAUAAGCAACGCCGCAAUGACCUCUUCAGGUCACGUUCGCCUGCAUCGUACUCCUGACCGAUCGCAGAGCGGGCGACACAAAGUCAGGAUGCUGCUCGUGAAUUCACGGCACGAAGCAUAAGAGGACUUUCGGGUCUGAGUGAAUUGUCCGCAAGGGGCUUGUCCGUUUGACCCUUGACGGAUGAAAUCAACAAACUGACUACGCUCGUAGUACAUUCGAGGGUCGAAUCUUUCGGACGCGGGUUCGAUUCCCGCCAUCUCCACAA
RNAcentral lists this transfer-messenger RNA (402 nucleotides) under Anaerolineaceae. RNAcentral describes it as "Flexilinea sp012799995 Standard tmRNA". It matches the Rfam family "transfer-messenger RNA". From Rfam's summary of the family: Bacterial tmRNA, also known as 10Sa RNA or SsrA, is named for its dual tRNA and mRNA-like properties. Its role is to liberate the mRNA from a stalled ribosome. The record is from RNAcentral. RNAcentral also lists the same sequence under 1 other name. Lineage: Bacteria; Bacillati; Chloroflexota; Anaerolineae; Anaerolineales.